GUGGCUAGCAUGGGCCACAGCGGGCAGCCCUUGAGACUAUCCAAUGAAGUUGAAUGAUGGGAGAUUCAGGACAGCCAAAAAGAAUCAUGCAGCUGUUCGGGCAGGCUAAAUCAUCCGUCUGGCUGGAUGUGCAACCGUCAUUCCCGCUGCUACGUCUGACGAAAACCAAAACCAGCCGCUCUAGCAAUACGAGAAACCAAUGCAGGAAAGCAGGAGAGACAAACCAGCAAGCGAAACAAGGCCUUCGUGGAAAGUGGUGAUCAAAACGGAACACCAUCCUCCAGCUGAGGCCUAGACACUGCCAAGUGAAGCAGGACUGUUCUUUCUCAGACCACCCCCAAUGGACAUUCCCAGGGAUUUGGCGCCAGUAUCCAAGCUCAAGUGGGACUGAUGGAAUAAAGAAUCCAACUUAUUAUUUUUGAAAAGAGAAAAAAAAGAGAAUUACUGGAAGGAAGUCUGGUCACAUAAUUUUCCCCCAAACCAUCAUCCCCACCCCCUGGCCAUGCAGGCUAGGACUGAUAAGAACUGGUGUCCAACAAGACACUCUCUUGAAGGGUCACAGGUUCCCUGCCACGGAUAUAGGGUCAUAGGAGAGAGGGGGAACUCUAGGAUGAUUCAAUUCGAGGCCCUUCCAGUGCCAUAAUUCUCUUAUCUUCUCUGUAGCAGCCUGAAGGGAAAGGGACUGCCGAAAUAUCUCCAUUUUUGCCGUUGGGAUCACCCAGUGUCAGAGGAAUGAAGAUGCGGACAUCAGCCAACAGGAACCGGUUGUCAUGGACGGACUGGACGCAGAAGAGGCACCAGCCGGGGAACCCACUAGGGAACCGCCAGGGGAAGAAAGCUCAGAGCCAGGGGAGUUGUGGCGGGACAACGAUGAGAGAGGUCUGGGGAAGGGAGGUGUCGGAAGCUGGAGG
This is a long non-coding RNA of Podarcis raffonei (Aeolian wall lizard), 911 nucleotides long. RefSeq lists it as uncharacterized. The record is from RefSeq and is a predicted model, not a curated record. The transcript has 3 exons. Lineage: Eukaryota; Metazoa; Chordata; Lepidosauria; Squamata; Lacertidae.